RNAcentral lists this ribosomal RNA (445 nucleotides) under uncultured bacterium. RNAcentral's name for it is "partial 16S ribosomal RNA". It matches the Rfam family "Bacterial small subunit ribosomal RNA", at positions 354 to 796 of the family's 1533-position model. The record is from RNAcentral.
GUGAGGAAUAUUGCGCAAUGGAGGCAACUCUGAUGCAGCCAUGCCGCGUGCAGGAAGAAGGCGCUACGCGUUGUAAACUGCUUUUAACCGGGAAGAAACCCCAGGACGUGUCCUGGGUUGACGGUACCGGAGGAAUAAGCACCGGCUAACUUCGUGCCAGCAGCCGCGGUAAUACGAAGGGUGCAAGCGUUAUCCGGAUUCAUUGGGUUUAAAGGGUGCGUAGGCGGAGCGUUAAGUCAGUGGUGAAAUCCUGCAGCUUAACUGUAGACUUGCCAUUGAUACUGGCGCUCUUGAGUGCGCUUGAAGUGGGCGGAAUGUGCCGUGUAGCGGUGAAAUGCUUAGAUAUGGCACAGAACACCAAUUGCGAAGGCAGCUCACUAAGGCGAUACUGACGCUGAGGCACGAAAGCGUGGGGAUCGAACAGGAUUAGAAACCCGUGUAGUCC